RNAcentral lists this unclassified non-coding RNA (298 nucleotides) under uncultured Agaricales. Its description in RNAcentral is "sequence contains 5.8S rRNA gene, ITS2, 28S rRNA gene". The stretch from base 1 to 52 matches the Rfam family "5.8S ribosomal RNA", at positions 103 to 154 of the family's 154-position model. Lineage: Eukaryota; Fungi; Basidiomycota; Agaricomycetes; Agaricales. The record is from RNAcentral.
AACGCACCUUGCGCUCCUUGGUAUUCCGAGGAGCAUGCCUGUUUGAGUGUCAUUAAAUUCUCAACCUAACCAGCUUUUGUGAGCUUUGGGUUAGGCUUGGAUGUGGGGGUUGCGGGCUUCACAGAAGUCGGCUCUCCUUAAAUGCAUUAGUGGAACCUUUUGUUGACUUGUUCCUGGUGUGAUAAUUAUCUACAUCGCGGGCGGUCAGCUUAUAAUGGGGCUCUGCUUCCAACUUGUCCUUAGCGGGACGCUUUGACCAUUUGACCUCAAAUCAGGUAGGACUACCCGCUGAACUUAA